This 1078-nucleotide long non-coding RNA is filed under the name Malus domestica (apple). RNAcentral describes it as "long non-coding RNA (MDOM_LNC019294)". Lineage: Eukaryota; Viridiplantae; Streptophyta; Magnoliopsida; Rosales; Rosaceae. The record is from RNAcentral.
UAGCAAUCCCACUCCUCCAAGGUCACUCAUUUCUUCUCCAAUCUAACCUUGGUGUAGAGACUUAGAGGUUCUCUAUUUUGAGAACUUGGAGAAACCUUUUUCAUCCAUCCAAAUCCAUAGAUUUAAGAUGCAAGGAAUGAAGGCCCUCUCUUUGGGUGAUUAGCCUUUGCUUAUGCAAAGAGGAAUCUACAAAGGUAUAAAUUUCUCUCAACUCACUUUGAUUUUGAGUUGAGUCUUGGUUCACCAAUCUACUAGGCUUUUAAUGUUUUGUUUUUAAGUGCAUGCAAGCAUGAUUCCGCCUUUUAAUUGUUAAUAGCAUGCUAUAGAUGGUGCUUAAAUGAACAUGUUUUUAAAAAUAUUUCCUUCAAGUGGUAUCAGAGCCUAGGUCUAGUAGUUGGUGAAUCCUUUUGGGUUUUGUAGUUCAUAGUUUGUGAUUUAAAAGUUGUAAUAUGUUACAAGCUUUAUUCUUGUUUCUUUGAAUGUAAAUUUUGUUGGAAAAUUUGCCAUCUCAAAUGUUGUAGAUGUAGUUCAUAUGAGCAUGAAUAUUGGAGCUAAAAUUUGGUGCCAUGUUUUUGGGAAUUUUCGGCCAAAUCCAAAGGGUGGAUUUUUGGGUUCUUGUUUGACUUGUUGAAAGUGUUUUCAAGUGACUUUUGGAACCCCUAUGUACCCUUGUUUGGUUAUAUGUUAUUUCCCUAAAGUUUGAAUGGUUUUUGGAGUAAAAAUGUUCAUGGAAAUGUUUUGGGUUUUUCAUGAAUGUUCUUCAUUGUUCUUGACAUUUUUGCCAAGAACAAAAAGUUUUGUGUUUUGAUUCAAAGUUUUGAUUUAUUUCAUAAAGUUUAUGUUUUAUGUUUUUCAAAUGUUUAAAUGUAUUAGAUAUUUGUUUAGAAAGGUGGUAGAAUUAUUGGUGGGUGUGUAAGGAUUAAUUCCCUUUCACACACACCACUUGCACCACUUGCAUGCUUUAUGUCAAAACUCACAAAUCAACACACACAUCACUCCUUUCCCUCUCCAAAACCGGCCACUCCCUCAAUGGGAGUACUUUUGGGGCUUUUAUGCAAUUACAUAAAGUUUUGAUACU